GACGAACGCUGGCGGCGUGCUUAACACAUGCAAGUCGAACGGUGACGAGGAGCUUGCUCCUCUGAUCAGUGGCGAACGGGUGAGUAACACGUGAGCAACCUGCCCCAGACUCUGGGAUAACAGUUGGAAACAGCUGCUAAUACCGGAUACGAGACGGAGAGGCAUCUCUACCGUCUGGAAAGUUUUUCGGUCUGGGAUGGACUCGCGGCCUAUCAGCUAGUUGGUGAGGUAAUGGCUCACCAAGGCGACGACGGGUAGCCGGCCUGAGAGGGCGACCGGGCCAACGACUGGGACUGAGACACGGCCCAGACUCCUACGGGAGGCAGCAGUGGGGAAUAUUGCACAAUGGGCGAAAGCCUGAUGCAGCGACGCCGCGUGAGGGAUGACGGCCUCGGUUGUAACUCUUCUAGCAGGAGAAGACGAAGUGACGGUACCUGCAGAGAAGCACGGCAACUACGUGCCAGCAGCGCGG
RNAcentral lists this ribosomal RNA (472 nucleotides) under uncultured bacterium. RNAcentral describes it as "bacterial SSU rRNA". It matches the Rfam family "Bacterial small subunit ribosomal RNA", at positions 28 to 520 of the family's 1533-position model. The record is from RNAcentral.